AGAGUUUGAUCCUGGCUCAGGACGAACGCUGGCGGCGUGCCUAAUACAUGCAAGUCGAGCGGGGAUUAUGCUUGAUCGCUUCGGUGAGACGGCAUAUAUCCUAGCGGCGGACGGGUGAGUAACGCGUGGGUAAUCUACCUCGUAGUUCGGGAUAACAGGCCGAAAGGCUUGCUAAUACCGGAUGAGUUCAUGCUUAUGCAUAUAGGCAUGAAGAAAGGGCUAGCCCGCUAUGAGAUGAGCCCGCGUCCCAUUAGCUUGUUGGUGGGGUAACGGCCUACCAAGGCAACGAUGGGUAGCCGGCCUGAGAGGGUGUACGGCCACACUGGGACUGAGACACGGCCCAGACUCCUACGGGGGGCAGCAGUAGGGAAUUUUCGGCAAUGGGCGAAAGCCUGACCGAGCGACGCCGCGUGAGGGACGAAGGCCUUCGGGUUGUAAACCUCUGUCUGGGGGGAUGAGAACGGACGGUACCCCCGAAGGAAGCCCCGGCUAACUACGUGCCAGCAGCCGCGGUAAU
This 517-nucleotide ribosomal RNA is filed under the name uncultured bacterium. RNAcentral describes it as "bacterial SSU rRNA". It matches the Rfam family "Bacterial small subunit ribosomal RNA", at positions 8 to 524 of the family's 1533-position model. The record is from RNAcentral.